This 1013-nucleotide long non-coding RNA is filed under the name Apteryx rowi (Okarito brown kiwi). Its description in RNAcentral is "lncRNA (ENSARWG00000016960.1)". The record is from RNAcentral. Lineage: Eukaryota; Metazoa; Chordata; Aves; Apterygiformes; Apterygidae.
CACAGAGUCUAGUUGGAGGCCUGUAGCUAGCGGUGUCCCCCAGGGGUCAGUACUGGGUCCAGUCUUGUUCAACUUCUUCAUCAAUGACCUGGAUGAAGGCACAGAGUGCACACUCAGCAAGUUUGCUGACGAUACAAAACUGGGAGGAGUGGCGGAUACGCCAGAGGGCUGUGCUGCCAUUCAGAGAGACCUGGACAGGCUGGAGAGGUGGGCAGAGAGGAACCUCAUGAAGUUCAACAAAGGGAAGUGCAGGGUCCUGCACCUGGGGAGGAAUAACCCCAUGCACCAGUACAGGUUGGGGGUUCAGCUGCUGGAAAGCAGCUCUGCBGAGAAGGACCUGGGAGUGCUGGUGGACACCAAGUUAAGCAUGAGGCAGCAAUGUGCCCUUGUGGCCAAGAAGGCCAAUGGUAUCCUGGGCUGCAUCAGGAAGAGUGUUGCCAGCAGGUCGAGGGAGGUGAUUCUCCCCCUCUACUCAGCCCUGGUGAGGCCACAUCUGGAGUACUGCGUCCAGUUCUGGGCUCCCCAGUACAAGAGGGAUGUGGCACUACUGGAGCAAGUCCAGCGAAGGGCUACAAAGAUGAUUAGGGGACUGGAGCAUCUCUCUUAUGAGGAAAGGCUGAGAGAGCUGGGCCUGUUUAGCUUGGAGAAGAGAAGGCUGAGAGGAGAUCUUAUCAAUGUGUACAAGUAUCUGAAGGGAGGGUGUCGAGAGGAUGGGACCAGACUCUUUUCAGUGGUGCCAAGCGACAGGACGCAAGGCAACGGGCACAAACUGAAACACAGACACUUCCAUCUGAACAUGAGGAAAAACUUUUUCACUGUGAGGGUGACAGAGCACUGGAACAGGUUGCCCAGAGAGGUUGUGGAGUCUCCUUCUCUGGAGAUAUUCAAAACGCGCCUGGAUGCAAUCCUGUGCAAUGUGCUCUAGGUGACCCUGCUUGAGCAGGGGGGUUGGACUAGAUGAUCUCCAGAGGUCCCUUCCAACCUCAGCGAUUCUGUGAUUCUGUAUUAGAAAG